RNAcentral lists this ribosomal RNA (428 nucleotides) under uncultured bacterium. RNAcentral describes it as "partial 16S ribosomal RNA". It matches the Rfam family "Bacterial small subunit ribosomal RNA", at positions 354 to 796 of the family's 1533-position model. The record is from RNAcentral.
GUGGGGAAUAUUGGGCAAUGGGCGCAAGCCUGACCCAGCAACGCCGCGUGAGGGAAGAAGGUCUUCGGAUUGUAAACCUCUGUCCUUGGGGACGAAAACAAUGACGGUACCCAAGGAGGAAGCUCCGGCUAACUACGUGCCAGCAGCCGCGGUAAUACGUAGGGAGCGAGCGUUGUCCGGAAUUACUGGGCGUAAAGGGUGCGUAGGCGGCAUGGCAAGUCAGAUGUGAAAUCCCCGGGCUUAACUCGGGGGGUGCAUUUGAAACUGCUGUGCUUGAGUGCAGGAGAGGAAAGCGGAAUUCCUAGUGUAGCGGUGAAAUGCGUAGAUAUUAGGAGGAACACCAGUGGCGAAGGCGGCUUUCUGGACUGUAACUGACGCUGAGGCGCGAAAGUGUGGGGAGCAAACAGGAUUAGAUACCCUUGUAGUCC